UGGAAAACACUCUCCGAGGAGUGGCCUCAACCAUGAGGUCCAUGGGCCGGAGUACUGGCACCUGAGUGAAGCAAGACAGAUAAAAAGGUGGUGAUAAGACAAGCAUGCUAACCCGUAACGCGGUGAUGGUGGUCGGGUCUCUGAUUCUUCCAUCUUCAUCCUUCAG
Long non-coding RNA from Carassius auratus (goldfish), 166 nucleotides. RefSeq lists it as uncharacterized. The transcript has 2 exons. The record is from RefSeq and is a predicted model, not a curated record. Lineage: Eukaryota; Metazoa; Chordata; Actinopteri; Cypriniformes; Cyprinidae.